GCGUGUCAACUUCCUAUUGGGGGCGGAGUUGGGACGACGUCGCAUGCUCCCGGCCGGAUUAGAGUUUGAUCCUGGCUCAGGACGAACGCUGGCGGCGUGCCUAAUACAUGCAAGUCGAGCGAACAGAAGGGAGCUUGCUCCCGGAUGUUAGCGGCGGACGGGUGAGUAACACGUGGGUAACCUGCCUGUAAGACUGGGAUAACUCCGGGAAACCGGAGCUAAUACCGGAUAGUUCCUUGAACCGCAUGGUCCAAGGAUGAAAGACGGUUUCGGCUGUCACUUACAGAUGGACCCGCGGCGCAUUAGCUAGUUGGUGGGGUAAUGGCUCACCAAGGCGACGAUGCGUAGCCGACCUGAGAGGGUGAUCGGCCACACUGGGGCUGAGACACGGCCCAGACUCCUACGGGAGGCAGCAGUAGGGAAUCUUCCGCAAUGGACGAAAGUCUGACGGAGCAACGCCGCGUGAGUGAUGAUUGUUUUCGGAUCCCAAAGCUCUGUUGUUAGGGAAGAACAAGAGGGAGAGGAGCUGCUCGCACCUUGACGGUACGUAACCAGAAAGCCACGGCUAACUACGUGCCAGCUGCCGCGGUAAUACGUAGGUGGCAAGCGUUGUCCGGGAUUAUUGGGCGUAAAGGGCUCGCAGGCGGUUUCUUAAGUCUGAUGUGAAAGCCCCCGGCUCAACCGGGGAGGGUCAUUGGAGACUGGGAAACUUGAGUGCAGAAGAGGAGAGUGGAAUUCCACGUGUAGCGGUGAAAUGCUUAGAGAUGUGGAGGAACACCAGUGGCGAAUGCGACUCUCUGGUCUGUAACUGACGCUGAGGAGCGAAAGCGUGGGGAGCGACAGGAUUAGAUACCCUGGUAGUCCACGCCGUAAACGAUGAGUGCUAAGUGUUAGGGGGGUUUCCGCCCCUUAGUGCUGCAGCUAACGCAUUAAGCACUCCGCCUGGGGAGUACGGUCGCAAGACUGAAACUCAAAGGAAUUGACGGGGGCCCGCACAAGCGGUGGAGCAUGUGGUUUAAUUCGAAGCAACGCGAAGAACCUUACCAGGUCUUGACAUCCUCUGACAACCCUAGAGAUAGGGCUUUCCCUUCGGGGACAGAGUGACAGGUGGUGCAUGCCAGUCGUCAGCUCGUGUCGCGACAUGUUGGGUUAAGUCCCGCAACGAGCGCAGCCCUUGAUCUUAGUUGCCAGCAUUUAGUUGGGCACUCUAAGGUGACUGCCGGUGACAAACCGGAGGAAGGUGGGGAUGACGUCAAAUCAUCAUGCCCCUUAUGACCUGGGCUACACACGUGCUACAAUGGACAGAACAAAGGGUUGCGAGACCGCAAGGUUUAGCCAAUCCCAUAAAUCUGUUCUCAGUUCGGAUCGCAGUCUGCAACUCGACUGCGUGAAGCUGGAAUCGCUAGUAAUCGCGGAUCAGCAUGCCGCGGUGAAUACGUUCCCGGGCCUUGUACACACCGCCCGUCACACCACGAGAGUUUGUAACACCCGAAGUCGGUGAGGUAACCUUUAUGGAGCCAGCCGCCGAAGGUGGGACAGAUGAUUGGGGUGAAGUCGUAACAAGGUAACCAAUCACUAGU
This 1580-nucleotide ribosomal RNA is filed under the name Bacillus sp. KP4(2014). RNAcentral's name for it is "bacterial SSU rRNA". It matches the Rfam family "Bacterial small subunit ribosomal RNA". The record is from RNAcentral. Lineage: Bacteria; Bacillati; Bacillota; Bacilli; Caryophanales; Bacillaceae.